Molecule: transfer RNA, 72 nt
Filed under: Ilumatobacter fluminis
Lineage: Bacteria; Bacillati; Actinomycetota; Acidimicrobiia; Acidimicrobiales; Ilumatobacteraceae
Rfam family: tRNA
About the family: Transfer RNA (tRNA) molecules are approximately 80 nucleotides in length. Their secondary structure includes four short double-helical elements and three loops (D, anti-codon, and T loops).
Source: Rfam by way of RNAcentral
GGCGACGUGGCCGAGUGGCUUAGGCAACGGCCUGCAAAGCCGUCUACCCGGGUUCGAUUCCCGGCGUCGCCU